This 253-nucleotide ribosomal RNA is filed under the name uncultured bacterium. RNAcentral's name for it is "partial 16S ribosomal RNA". It matches the Rfam family "Bacterial small subunit ribosomal RNA", at positions 524 to 776 of the family's 1533-position model. The record is from RNAcentral.
UACGAAGGGUGCAAGCGUUACUCGGAAUUACUGGGCGUAAAGCGUGCGUAGGUGGUGCGUUAAGUCUGUCGUGAAAGCCCCGGACUCAACCUGGGAAUGGCGAUGGAUACUGGCGCGCUAGAGUGCGGUAGAGGAGAGUGGAAUUCCCGGUGUAGCAGUGAAAUGCGUAGAGAUCGGGAGGAACAUCAGUUGCGAAGGCGGCUCUCUGGACCAGCACUGACACUGAGGCACGAAAGCGUGGGGAGCAAACAGG